RNAcentral lists this microRNA (22 nucleotides) under Ornithorhynchus anatinus (platypus). RNAcentral's name for it is "oan-miR-7405-5p". Lineage: Eukaryota; Metazoa; Chordata; Mammalia; Monotremata; Ornithorhynchidae. The record is from miRBase by way of RNAcentral.
UCCAAGGCAGUCCUACAUCCUG